Molecule: ribosomal RNA, 497 nt
Filed under: uncultured bacterium
Lineage: Bacteria
Description: partial 16S ribosomal RNA
Rfam family: Bacterial small subunit ribosomal RNA
Source: RNAcentral
GACGAACGCUGGCGGCAUGCCUAAUACAUGCAAGUCGAACGCGGAAGCCCUCUGUUUGCAGAGUGCGGUUGAGUGGCGAACGGGUGAGUAACAUGUGGUAAAUCUGCCUAUAAGAGGGGGAUAAUAUUCGGAAACGGUGGCUUAUACCGCAUAUAUUCUUGGACCGCCUGGUGCUUGAAAGAAAGUCGGCUUUUCUGUCGCUUAUAGCUGAUCCCGCGGCGUAUUAGUUAGUUGGUGGGGUAAAGGCCUACCAAGACAAUGAGACGUAGACGACCUGAGAGGGAGAUCGGCCACACUGGCACUGAGACACGGCCCAGACUCCUACGGGAGGCAGCAGUAGGGAAUCUUCCACAAUGGGCGAAAGCCUGAUGGAGCAAUGCCGCGGAAAUGAAGAAGGUCUUCGGCUCGUAAAGUUCUGUUAUUAGAGAAGAACAAGUCAAGGAGUAACUGUCUUGACUUUGACGGUACCGGGCCAAAAAGUCACGGCUAACUACGUG